AAAUCGGAAAAAUAUGAUAUUGAUAAGAUUGGUGAUCAUCCACCACGAAGUGAGACUGGACCUACCAGACCCAUACGAGUUACUAUUGUAAAGGAAGACAAAAAGAACAUUGUGAGAAUCAGUGACUGGAUGCCAGCAGUUGAACCUACGUCAAGCAUAAGCAGAAGACUUCCAGCAUCAUCUUUGUCAGAGUUAUCUGGUGGGUCUCAGCAAUCUCAACUUCUGGCCUCAGAAGAGUCUGAGUUUCAUGUGAUUGUUGAGCUCGCUGAGCUUGGAAUCUCCGUAAUCGAUCAUGCUCCGGAGGAAAUAUUGUACAUGUCAGUGCAAAACCUCUUUGUGGCAUACUCAACCGGCUUGGGCUCUGGGCUUAGCAGGUGAGUUUAUCAGGUUCUUAAGUUGUAGCUUUAUUUUAUAGAGAAAGGAGCAUUCUAUUUCACCACUGCAGUUAUUCUGACCGUACUAAAUUCAUGUCUAAUUCGACAAUAGUGGUCACCGUCUUCACGCUUAUCAGUUAUAAAACCAAGCACGCUGGACUAAUGUUGAACGCUAAUUUUUUACAGGUACAAGCUAAGGAUGCAAGGAAUACAAGUGGAUAACCAAUUACCGUUGGCUCCAAUGCCGGUUCUGUUCAGACCACAGAAAACUGGAGAUAACGCUGACUGCAUUCUGAAGUUUUCUGUUACUUUGCAAUCGAAUGCUGGUCUCGAUCUCCGUGUCUACCCGUAUAUAGGUUUCCACGGACGUGAAAAUACUGCCUUUCUGGUUAACAUCCAUGAACCUAUAAUCUGGCGCAUUCAUGAGAUGAUUCAGCAAUCCAACUUGAGUAGACUAUCCAAUUCUGAGUCAACGGCUGUAUCAGUUGAUCCAUUCAUUCAAAUCGGGUAUGUACACACGGCCUUCUUAUAUAUAUGCUAUUUACUAAAUGAGUCCAUACAUUGACACUUACCUAUAUGGUUACAUCCUUCCAAAAUUGCAGAGUUCUUGAUAUCUCAGAAGUUAGAUUUAAAGUAUCUAUGGCCAUGUCUCCAAGUCAAAGGCCGAGGGGAGUGCUUGGCUUUUGGUCAUCCCUGAUGACUGCUCUUGGGAAUACAGAAAACAUGCCAGUAAGUUUUCCAUACUAACUGAUUGACGGUAACUAACAAUAGGGACCUCUGUGUUUCACGCGAUUAGCCUAUUAGGAAACAAUUUAUCAUAGUUAGCCUACUAGUAUGUACAUCUGACGCAGGGAUUAGUAUGUGGUAUCUACACGACUCUGGAUCAAUUGGCCAACACCCAUUAAUUAGUUUAUGACAAUCCGUUUUUACUUUUCACUCGUAGGAUCACUAUAAUGAUUAUAGUCGACGAGUUUUCACAACUUAUAUAGAAUUUGAUUUGUCGAUGUCCCAACUACUGGAAAUACUGCACUUCCAGCCCAACCCAGCCGAAUAUUCAUAUGUUUUUCUCUAUUAAUUUUUCAUAUUCUUGAAACAGGUACGCAUAAGUGGAAGAUUUAACGAGAACAUAUCCAUGCGGCAAAGCACUAUGAUCAAUAGUGCUAUUAGGAACGUAAAGAAAGAUCUCCUUGGCCAGCCUCUUCAGUUGCUUUCAGGUGUUGAUAUUCUCGGCAAUGCAAGCAGCGCUCUUGGCCAUAUGAGUCAAGGCAUAGCUGCGCUGUCAAUGGAUAAAAAGUUCAUCCAAAGUCGACAGAGACAGGUUCGUUCAUGGCUUUUAUUUUGCUCCUACAUCUUACUGUUUCAUGUAACAUAAAAAAUAUAAGUUGCCUUUCAUCUGUUCACCUAAUAUGUGAAAAAAAUUCAUUUGACGUUCCAGUGGCUUCUGAUACAAGUGAUUACUAACAUUUGACAGGAUAACAAAGGUGUUGAGGACUUUGGCGAUAUUAUCAGAGAAGGAGGUGGAGCUUUAGCGAAAGGCCUGUUUAGAGGAGUCACAGGCAUAUUGACAAAGCCUCUCGAAGGUGCAAAAUCUUCUGGUGUCGAAGGAUUUGUCUCAGGUUUUGGGAAAGGUAUUAUCGGUGCUGCUGCCCAACCUGUGAGUGGAGUUCUGGAUCUUCUGUCAAAAACCACUGAAGGUGCAAAUGCCAUGAGGAUGAAGAUAGCAGCAGCAAUCACUUCAGAUGAACAACUUCUUCGCCGGAGACUUCCACGAGCUGUUGGUGCUGAUAGCCUGCUUCGUCCUUACAACGAAUACAGAGCACAGGGGCAGGUACAAAUUUGUACUCAUGACUCUUUUCAAACUGUAUUCCACUAGUGGUUUUUCUCCUGAUGAGGAAUGGAUUUAUUCGUGAUGAUGAUUCAUUUUCUAACUUUUGCACUUACAGGUCAUAUUGCAGUUGGCAGAAUCUGGAUCAUUCCUUGGCCAGGUUGACCUGUUCAAAGUACGUGGGAAAUUUGCAUUGACAGAUGCUUAUGAAAGUCAUUUCAUUCUACCAAAGGGAAAAGUUCUAAUGAUCACACAUCGAAGAGUAAUAUUGCUACAAGUGAGUCACACAAUAACCUCUUACUCUUCUCAGUAUAUGCAUAAGGUCUAUAAUUUGGUCUAGUGUUCGUCCUCGGUAUCUAUCUAGCCAAGAAAUCCUCUUUGACAUUAGCAACAUUUUAUUUUAUUUCCAGCAACCGUCCAACAUAAUGGGUCAAAGAAAAUUCAUCCCGGCCAAAGAUGCGUGCUCUAUACAGUGGGACGUUCUAUGGACUGAUCUUGUAUUUAUGGAACUGACUGAGGGGAAAAAGGACCAGCCUAACUCUCCACCUUCGCGGCUUAUUCUCUAUCUGAAAUCAAAGCCAAAUGAUUCGAAGGAACAAGUCCGUGUUGUCAAAUGCAGUCCCAACACGAAGCAGGCCCUUGAUGUUUACUCAGCCAUCGAUACAACCAUUAACUUGUACGGGCAAAAUGAUUCAAAGGUUAGUGUAGCUUCUUUUUUCUUUCACAAUUAAUUAACAAUAAUGUCACCCCUUGUUUUGUUACAAAAAAAAAAAAAUAAUGUCACCCCUUGUUUAAAACAAAUUCAGAAUAUAUGUUUUGGUUAUUUGAUUUAGGCAUUGGUGAAAAACAAAGUGACAAGGCCGUAUUCCCCGAUAUCUGAGAGUUCUUGGGCUGAAGGAGGUUCUCAACAAAUGCCAGCUUCAGUUGCACCAUCUUCAACCUUUGGCACAAGCCCAACGACCAGCUCAAGUUAAAAUCAAUCUUUAAGCUGCAUCUUCUUGCUCUGUCACCUUCUCGCCCGCCACCCUGGUAAAUACUUUUUCCUGCUUCUUCCUCUGGCCAUUUCUCCAUUUGCCUCUGAACAUGUACUUCUGCCUGAUGAUUUUACUAUAACACAAACACAAUCUAAUGGUUUCUAUGCGUGUUUUUCGUUACUCAAUGUUCUCGUUUGAAACCUAAUCGACAUGUUUUCGUUUGUGUUCUCAGGUGUGUGGGAUGAAACACAGCUUUGGUAUAAAGACUUUUUCAUCGUGCUCAAAUUUUCUUUCUCGUGUAGGAUUUUCGUAAAUCAUAUCGUAGAACCAUAAUGUGUGUAUGUAUAUAUAUAAACCUCUGCAGUACAGACUUUUCCAAUAGUAAUCUCGUGUUGAUCAACACGUGUAUAUGGAAGCUGCCUUAUAUAAUUUUAUUGAUUUUAAAGAAUGUUGUCAGAAAGAACAAAACUUAUGCCCUUUCUGGAAGUUUUUUUUUUUUUUUCUUUCCCAAAUUGAUUAAUAUUAAAGAUGGCUCAAAGCCCACGAAACUACAAUCCAUUCUGAAAGCCCAAAAAAGGGAGCUCAGGAGAACAAAAAACAAAUAAAAGGCCCAAGCCCAAAAGUCGAAAACCCUAGCGCUGACAACACGUGUCUCGAAACCCUUUCUGGAAGUUUUAAUUUUAAAAGAAACAAUUAUACUAUUAUCUCCUAAGAAUGAUUUCACAAAUCUGUGUUUCCCUAGUAACAAUAAUGAAAACUCAGUUUUGUUUUUCUAUUUAACUUUAAAAUUACAACUAAAAUGUUUUAUAAAAUCUAUAUUAUUAAAACAGAAUUAUUGCUGUUUUUUCUUUUUAAAAAUAACUUAAUUUUAUUUAAAACUAUGGGUUGAUCCAUCCUACGGAUGAAUAGCUUACAAUAAAAUUAUUUUAGUUUUAUAAAUACUAGGUAAGGAAACCACGCGAUAUCGCAUGAAAACUCAUUUUUUAUAAAUAAAUCUAUCAUAUUAUAAUUUAUAUAUUAUAUAAAAAAAGAAUUUUAUUUUCAAAAAAAUCUUAUGUCAAAACAUAGAAUAUAUGUGUUUAUAUUUAUUUAUAGAUAAUAUUAAAAAUGUAUAUUCUAUAAUUUUAAAUUACAACUAAAAUACAAAUACAUCAAUACUAAUAAAAUUAUACAUUUUUUAUUAUUUUAGGUAAGUUACUCUAAAAUUUUAAAUUAUAUCAUGAGAAAAAGACUAGGAUAGCACCAAACCAAGUUUUUGUUCUCAAAGUAGCACUCAAGGCUCAAAGUCACAAAAAUAGGUUUCAUUAAAGAGGUAAAUAUACACUUAUAUCCCUUGGGUUAAUUAAUCCAAACCUUAGGGUUUAGUGUUAAGGGGGUGGGGUUUUAGAAUUAGGGUUUAAAAUUUUAUAAAAAAUAAAUACUAAAAUAAAAAUAAAAAAUUUUAAAAACAGUUUCAAAAAGUAUUUUUAAAUUAUAAAAAGAAAAUUUGAAAAAAAAAUAAAAAAAAAAUUUCGAAAAAAAAAUUUCAAAAAAAAAUUAUAAAAAUUUCGAAUCUGAAAAAUAUAAUCUGAAACUAUAAAAAAAAUUUAUUUUUUUCAUUUUAUUUAUUUUUUUUAUUUAUUUUUGUUUGUUUAUUUAAUUUUAAACCAAGGGUAUUAGAGAUAUUUUAUCCUUUAAUGAAUGUCAUUUUUGUGACUUUCUCCUUCUAGUGCUAUUUUUGUGACAUAAACUUCAAAAUGUGUUAUUAUUGACAAUUGCCCUUAUAUCAAUAUAUAAUAAAUAAAUAAAAUCUCUUAUUGAACAAAAAAAUCUUAUUGAAUAAAAAAUGUACCGUUUAUGUUAAACGGUUAUAUCGUCAAUGAAAAAGUACGAACGACUCAUAACCUAAGAGGUACGAACCCGUCAUAAACUAAGGGAUACAAACAUGAUGUGUCCAAGAGGUAUGAACUUGUUCCAAGGGAUAGACAAAUGUGCCUUGACCGAAGGUAUGAAUGUGUCGUGGCCGAAAAUGUGUAAAUGGCAUGAACGAAAGGGUGUGAACUGAAAUUGAGAUCCAUAAGACAAAAAAAGUUUCCAGAUGGGUAAAAACAUGCAAAAUCUAAGAAAUAUUUUAAAAAAUAAUAUAUUCUAAUUUGGAUAGACUUUUUAUGUUGUCGAUCACUAGCACCAUGGUUGACCAUAAGACAAAAAAGUUUUCGGAUCAGUAAAAACAGACAAAAUCUAAAAAAUAUUAAGAAAAUGAUAUAUUCUAAUUUGGAUAGACAUUUUAUGUUGUCGAGAAAAUGUCAUACUCUUAUAUCACCAGCACCAUGGUUGACCUUUAACAUUUUUUCAGUAAUGUUUCGUUUGCACUUUUUCAGUCACGAUCCGUGGUCAUGAUUCAUUGGCACUCUUUUGGAUACGACUCGUUUGCACCCUUUCAUUCACGAUCCAUUCACGUUCUUUCAGUUACGAUCCGUUCACACUCGUACGGUUACGAUCCGUUUACUCCUUUUGGUCACGACACGUUUGCACUUUUUUUUGUCACAACCCAUCUCCAAUCUUUCGGUCACGACCAUUUGCACUCUUUGGUCACGACCCGUUUGCAAUUUUUCGGUCACGAUCCAUUCGCAACCUUUCGGUCACGACUAUUUGCAAUCUUUCAAACACGACCAUUUGCACCCUUUCGAUCAUAACCCAUUUGCAAGCUUUCGGUCAUAACUCAUUUGCAUGCUUUCGGUCAUAACCCAUUUGUAUCCUUAUUGUAAUGGUCAAGAUCCAUUCGCAUCUUUUCGGUCAGGAUUAAUUUCAGAUCCUUUUGGUCAAGAACCGUUCGCACCCUUUCAUUUAUGACAGUUCACAGGCUUUCGGUCACGGUCCUUUUGUAAAUUUUCGGUCAUAAUACAUUCACACCCUUUCAGUCACAACACCUUCGCACCCCUUGGAUCAUGAUACUUUUGUACCUCUUGGAUCAUAGCAUAGCAUAUUUGUACCUCUUAGAUUAUGAUGUGUUCAUAUCUAUUAAAUUGCAACACAUUUAUAUCUCUAUGUUGAUGAUACUAUAUAAAUAUUUAUAAUUUUUAAUCAGUGUUAAUAUGAAAAGUAAACUUAUAUGAAUUUUUUUUGUAUUUAUUACUAUUGAGAUGAAAAUUUAUGUCUUUUUUGUUUUUACUUUACUCAUAUUUAUAUAUUAAUACUUCAAAAAUAUUUGUAGUUGUUUUAAAUAGACUUUUUAUGUUGGCCAGAAAAGAUCAUACUCUUAUAUCACCAACAUCAUGGUUGACCUUUAGCAUUCUCUCGGUGAUAUUCGUUCGCACAUUUUCAGUAACGAUCCAUUCUUACCUCUUUGGUCAUGAUCCAUUGAUAGUGACACACCUUUUGUUACGACUCGUUUGCACCCUUUCAGUCAAGACCCAUUCACACUCUUUCGGUAACAAAUCAUUCACACCCUUUCGGUUACGAUCCGUUCACACCCUUUUUUGGUCAGGACCAGUUUACACUUUUUCGGUCACAACCUAUUCACAACCUUUCGAUCACAACCAUUUGCACCAUUUGGUCACGACCUGUUUGUAAUUUUUCGGUCACGAUCCAUUCGCAACCUUUCAGUCACGAUCAUUUGCACCCUUUUGGUCACGGUCAAGAUCUGUUCCCACCCUUUCAGUCAAGAUUAAUUUCACAUCCUUUCGGUCAAGAUCCAUUGACACUUUUUUUGUUUAUGAUCAUUGGCAGCCUUUCGGUCACGAACGUUUUGUAUAUUUUUGGUCAAAAUACAUUCACAUCCUUUCAGUCACAAAACGUUCAUACUUUUUGGAUUAUGAUAUGUUCGUACCUCUUGGAUCACAACACGUUCAUACCUCUUAGAUUAUGAUGCGUUUUCAUAUCUCUUAAAUCACAAUACAUUUGUACAUCUUCGUUGAUGACACCACGUAAAUAUUUAUCCUUUUUUAAUCAUUGUUAAUAUUAAAAUUGUGUCUCUUAAGUUUUUUUAUUGAAAAGUUAUUUUUAUUAGUAUUGAAAUAAAAAUUUAUGUCUUUUUGUUUUUACUUUAUUCAUAUAUAUGAAUAGUCACAUCUUUCAAUUUAAAGGUGGUUAUUUUGAAAUUAUACUUAUAGGAAUAGUCAUAACUUUUCAAUUUAAAUAGUCACAUAUUUUCAAAUUUAAAUGUUAUAUUUUGAAAUGAUAGAAACAUGAAUAGUCACAACUUUUCAUUUAAAUAAUUACAUAAUUUACAAUUAAAUUCUAACUAAUGCACAACUCUUGAAACAAAUAACGAAAAGACACAACUUUAACAAGAAAUAAAAUUUCUAUAAAAAUACACAACUUUUCAACAUUGUUUGGGUUUUUCAUGUAAAACAUUUAAGAGAUGCAACUUUUAUGUAUAAAACUUAAGAGAUUCAAAUUUUCAUAUUAAUCAAUACACUGAAUUUUAGAGAUAAAACAAUUGCAAAUAUUUAUGAAAUAUUAAUAAAUAGAUAUGAGCAAAAUAAAAACGAAAACAUAUAAUUUUUCAUCUUAAUACUAAUAAAUUCAACUUUUCAUAUGAAAAAUUAAGAGAUGCAACUUUCAUAUAGAUGAAUAGUCACAUUUUUCCAGUUUAAAAGUGGUUAUUUUGAAAUGAAACUUAUAUGAAUAGUCACAAUUUUUCAAUUUAAAUAGUCACAUCUUUUCAAUUUAAAGGUAGCUAUUUUGAAAUGAUACAUAUAUGAAUAGUCACAAUUUUUCAUUUAAAUAAUUGCAUCUUUUCAAUUUAAAUACUACACAACUCUUGAAACAAAUAUUGAAGGGACAUAUCUUAAUAUAUAAUGAAAAGACACAACUUUUAAUAAAAAAACAAAAUUCCUAUAAAACACACAACUUUUCAACAUUGUUUGGGUUUGCUGUUAUUAAUUGUUUGUUUUCUACACCAUUUUAUUUGAUUAGUGAAAAUUAUGCUUUGACAAGGCAUAGACAUAAGACUAUUUAUAGAUUUUCAAAAUUUUGUUUGAAGAGUUACAUCUUUUGAAUUAAAAGGUUGUGUCUUUUUGUAAUAAUACUUCUAUGAAGAGUCAUAACUUUUCAAUAUAAAUGGUCACAUUCUUUCAAUGUAAAUAGUUAUUUUUAAAUAAAAUAUACAACUUUUAAUUGUUGAAAAGACACAACCUUUCAACAUAGGUGGAAUUCAAAACCUUUGAGUUAAUUGUGAUUGCUAUUAUUACUAGAUUUGAAAAAUACUUUAAACUAAACAUAAUAAAUAUAAUCCUUUUCUUAUAUCAUAUUGUAAAUUUUAUUAAAUUCUGUUGGUUUGAGUUGAAAUAACUACUAACGUUUUUGAAGAGAACACAAAAUUUUAAAUAAAAAUUAAGAAAAAUAUUAUCGUUUAUAUUUAUUCUUUUGAUUUUUAUAUCACUUUGAUAAAGUUGAAGAAAUAUAUAAUUUAUUAAGAAUAACCAAUAAAUUUUUUAAGUGUUUCAAAUUAUGAUAUUAUUACACUACUUAAUUAAUUUGGAAGAUUGUAUCAAUUAUCACAGGGGUUUUUACUUUGUAUUUGUGUUUCGGUGAGAUUUAGAUAUGUUCGUUUGACUUUUCAAAGGAUCAUGGACCUCAUUUUCUCCCAAAUGUAUUUCAUAAAACUUUUUUUGUAAUAUGAAAAUGUAUUUCAUAUAGGGAAAUUGGUCUCUAUGGCGUUAAAAAAACCAUAAUUCACUUUAUGAUCAAUUUCCCUAAUAUAUCAAUACACCGUUUGUCUUUUCUAUAAUAUUGCUAUACUACCCUUUCAUUCCACCGGUGAAACCUGAAAAAAAAGUAAUCUUAAUUAAUAAUUAGUGAUUGUAAAAAGAAAAAACAUGGCCUUCGUUAUUCUCACAUAUCUAACAAAAUAAAUUUUCAUUGAUAAAAUAUAGAAAGGUUAAUAGAUUCAUUUUCAGAUUUGAGCGACAAAGAUACCAUUGACUACAUUCUUAGAGAAUUUUUGUGGAGGAGAAGACCAUUUUCGAAGGUUUGGUAGGUGACAUAAGGUGUUGUAUAUAAAUGGAAUAAUGCAGAUGAUAUGGAAUAAAACUUAGAUGAUAUGGAAUAAAUUUGAACGUUUAAUAUCAUCGUAUUUUGCUUCUUAAUUCAUACAAAUUUAAUACUUACGUAUUUUGAUAUAUGGGUUGGGGUUUAUAUUUUCGUGUAGGGUUUAGUGAUGAUUGGAUAGGGUUUAGUUUCUGGAAUAUUGGAUUCACCAUUAGGAAAUCAUUACUUUUUUUUUAUUCUGUUUGGAUAUGGAAUAGAACACUUCUGAACUUUCAUAUCAUGUGUUUUAAUUUUGGUGAUAUAGAAUUGACAUAUUACAUAAUAUAAUUUAAUAUUACAUAACAUAAUUUAAUAUUACAUAACAUUAUAUAUAUUUUUAGAUUUUGAUAUAUGAAUUUAGGGUUUAUAUUUGGGUUAGGGUUUAGUGAUUUAGAUUUUAGGGUUUUGUUUUUAGAUUAUAUGGAAUAAAACUUAGAUGAUAUAGAAUAUAACUCUCGAUGCUUAUGUAUGUGAUCAAUAAAGUUAUACGUGGAUAGCUUUUUCUUCUUUCAAAAAACCACAAUGUCACUUACUUUAUAAAUUGUAACUGACAACCUAUUACACGAAAAGGCAGAACCGGAUAGAAUGUGUACAAAAAGUUUGACAUUAAAUUACGUCAAAAUCAAUGCUAAUUACUUAAUUUCAUAUUGAAACAUGGCUUUCUCACUAAGCCCCAAUGUGGUGUCACAUAACCUGUGCUACAUGGAAAUAUUUCCAAUUUUUUUAUCUCUGUUUGAUCGUUUGCAAACCUAAACUUCCUGAUUUAGAAUUUUUAGAUUGUUCGUUUUUAAUGUGCUUUAGGUUGUUAGUUUUUUAUGUGCAUCAGUUUUGAUGACAUCCCUUACUAUUAUUUGAGGAGUAAACCACGGGUUGAAGUACCAUUUUUUCUAAUCUUAUCAGUGUAGGUGAGGUUAAGGUGUUGAAGACAGCAACAACUUACAACCCAACUGAUAUCUUCAUUAAGGUUCUCCCAGUUCAGAGAAGCACUAAAGUUGCUUCGAGUUUCUAAACGUAGAAGUUGUUGCAUCCAGUAAACGCUUGAAUGAUCCGGUAAAGGAGUAUAAAGAAGGCUUGUUAAGAGUUGGAAGGGAUUUCACCGAAGGUUUUCGUAAGUGGUUAUGAAGGUAUCAUGUCUAAGUUGAGAUUUGAAGAUUAUAGACAGGAUAAGGUAUUUACAUUUGACAUCAGACUCUCGGUUUUAUCCUAGAAGGUUCUGGUUAAGUUGGUUGAUAUAUAUGAUUAUAUAUGAUAUUAGGAGAUGAAUUUGGGUAGAGUUUGUGAAUUUUGAGAGUUAAUAGAUUUUAAAAGGUUAUGUAGAUUGUGAAAAUUUAUAUAAAUUUACUUAUAAAAUUUGAUCAUAACCUUUUAAGAUUGAUAUAGAUUUUCAUGAAUUUGUAUUACCUCUUUUCUAUAAUUUUUUGUAAAAUAAAUAUAUAAUCUAUUUAUUUUCUAAAUCAUAUAGCAUGAUUAUUUAUUUUUUCUUUCAAAUUAAAAAGAAAAUAAUACUAAUACAUACAAAAUUGAACAAUUUUCUUAAAUAGCCAUUUUAAAAGAUUUUGUCACAAAAAUAGCAUUAAAAAAAAAGAAAAUGACAAAAAGAAGUUUCAUUAAAAAGGUAAAAGAAUAUUUUACCCAUUGCUAUAUAAAUGUAUAAGUAAUAAAAAUAAUAAAAAGUUGUGUUUAUAUAAUUUCGAAUUCUAUGUUUUAAAAUUCGAACCUUUUUAUUAUUUUUCUAUUUUUAUAAAAAAAAAUAUUUUUUCGAAUUUUCUUUUUGAAAUUCGAAAAUGUUUUUUGAAACUAUUUUAUAAAAAACAAUUAAAAUUAUUAUGAUUUGUGAAUGUAAUUAUUAAUAUUUAUAUUAAAAUAUAAUAUUUUUAAAAAUAAUUAUGUAUUCAAAAAUGUAAGAGUUUAUAAAUGUAAUGAAUUAUAGUUUUGAACAUAUAAGUUGAAUUUAAGAUGCAAUAGAUAUUUGGUAAGAAUAAUUAUUUUGUUUUCAAGGAUUUUGAAAUCACAUGGAUACAUAUGAUAUUUUGAAAUUUGAGUCUUAUGAGUAAAAAUGAAUAAAAUUCAUUUCCCAAUAACACUAGAUUUUGUUAGAAUUAGAGAAUCAACAAUAACUAAACUUUUUUAAAUAAUAAGAUAUUUAAAUGGAUUUUGAAAAUUCUUAAACCAAUAAAAGUAGAUUCUACUAAGAUUUUUGAAAUCCAAGAACCAAUAACAAUGGAUUCUUAAAAUUAUCAAAAUUCAUGAGAAUUCACAAUAACUCCUCCUUAGCUUCUAAACCUCUGACUCAAGCAGACGUUCCGGCUUCUUUCUCCACAAUACUAUUUUCUUCUCCCUCCAAUUCUUGUUUCACACCCUUCUUCUUAGAGUAACUAGGUAAUGAACCCGUGCGAUGUCGCACGGAAACUCAUUUUACAAAAAAUAUCAUAAAAAAAGUUAUUUGUAAAAACUGUUCACAAUUGCCUUUGAAAAAGUACCUACAUUACAAACAUUGAUUUCAUGUAAUUAAAAUUAAAGUACACGUUUAAUAAGAUGAUAAGACAUAUUUUUACAACUUAUAAACAUCAUUACAAAAUAUACAUUUUUAGACAUUUUGACAAAAUUGUCAACUAUUGCAAUUUUUAGAAAAUAAUAUAUUUUGACAAUUUUUGGAUUCCUAUUUAUAAUAAAAAAAACACUGUCCUAGAAUGAUAAGACACAUUUUUAUUCAUUUUCACAACCUCUCGAAAAUCUUUGCAUUCUUAGCAUAAAAAUACAUAUUCCUAAAAUGUUAAGAUAUAUCCUUAUACAUCUUUUACACCUUUUGAUAAACUAUUGUAUUUUUAGGAUUAAGAGACCCACAUCCUUGAACAUUUUUACAACUUUUAAACUAAUAUAAUUUUAGGAUGGAAAACAUAUUUUUAGAUAUUUUGAUAACUUCUGUUAAAAAAUGCAAUAUUUAAGAUAAUAAAUUAUUAUGAAAAGAAAAAAAUAUAUAAGUAGAGUAGUUUUAGACUCACAUACCAGAAUAGUUUAUGUUCAAUCUGAGUAGGUUUCAGUCUCUAAAAUACUUGAAAACUCUUCAUAUAUGAUUUAGUUAUUUUUCCGGUUUCCCAAAACCAAAACCUAUCAAAAUUUUAAUAAAUACUCCCUCUGUUUUAAAUUAGAUGAUAUUUAAGAAAGUUUUUGGUUUUUCAACAUAGAUGACAUUAUCAUAUUUUAAUAUUACUUUUAAUUUUAUCAGAAAUUUAGUAACCAUAGAUAUUUUCUAGUCUAUUUUUUAAUUGGUUGAAUAAUUUUCAAUUUAUAUCUAUGAAUAUUUUUUUGAGUAACAAUAUUUUUUUUAAUUGUUGUGCAUUAUUCUAAACCUUCAUGUAUUUUUGAACAGAUGGAGUAUUGUUCAACUGAAAAAAUAUAAAAGGCAUGACGUAGUUGAAGGCCUUUAAAAUGAUGUAGUUGAUACUGAAUAACUGAAACAAUUUUCUUACACUAAAUAUGGUACAUUAAGGGAGAAAAUAUAACUUUUUCUCACAAAUAGAAACAGAUUUUUUUCUUAGCAAUAUAAGAACUUACGCUAGUAAAACAAAAAAAAUGAAAACUCAGAACAGCAAAAUAAAAGAAAAAAAUAUUGAAUAGAAAAUAAAAGAAAUUUCAGUAAAUGUUAGAACACGUAGAAGUAUAGAAAUAUAAUAAAAUUAAAAUAUUUAUAAAAUACGCUAUUAUAACUUAUACUUAUUUGCUUACAACUUACCACUUUGUACAUGCAAUUUUCUAUUUAUUUUUUACAAAAUGUGUAGACCGUACACAUACUUUGUAUGAUUAAUGAUGAAUAUGAUUUAAAUCUGACAUAGAAAUGAAUGUAAGAGUCAUAAUAAAAAUCAUAUCACAGACAAAAAUUAACAAUCACUAAAUGUUUCAUUUAACCUUUUUCGCUCUUUUCCAUGUAUCAUAUAUAUAUACGACCAAAAGACACAUUGCAAAAGGUCAUGUCUCUUCAUUGGUAAACGGCCGAAUCAUGUGUUCAAACCAGUCCUGAUUCAAACCAUAUAUAUAACUGCACCAAUAGUAUUUCCCAGGGUAUAUUGAUAUGUAUUGAUAUUUAGUUGUUCCAGACCUGUUAAAAUAUACCAACAGACAUCAACAUUUUGAUAAAACUUAAUUUGUGAAAAAUUGGUUGGUUAAUAGUAGAAACAUUUUUUUUAGAUCCUUGAAAUUAUAGUACAUAGAAAUGAGCAAAUAUGAAAAACACAUUCAUAGAUCACUGUCCAAACUUUUUGAUAAAAUAUAUACUUUUAAAUAUUUAUUUAAUUUUUCUAAAGGUAUGAUAAAUAGACAUAAAAACAAAACAAAAAUAAUAUCCAUGAAAACCUAUGUAGCUUCAAAAAUCAAAAGACACAUUUUCAAAUAUUUUUUAGUAAUUGUUUUAAUAUUUUUACGAAAAAGCAAGAAAUUUCAUUUUUUUUAUCAUAUCUAUUCUCCUUAACUGAUAUAUAAUUAUUAAAAUAAGAAAACAGAUCAAUGUCUUUUGCUUCUAGUGGUAAGAGUAGGUGCUUAAAAAUAUGCAUAUGUUCUUCUUAUCUUUACUUAGAUUGCCAUUUGGUAACAAGCAAAUGCAAUACGAUAAAAAUUUUUUUUGCAAUUGUUGUUUGUAGUUAAGAAUAUUCCAAUGUAUUUUGUUAUUUUUUUCUCUAAAAUAAAAGAAUUAUAUAAUAGAGCUAAGAUUUGCUCUAAUAUAUUUUUUAAAACCAAUGUGAGACCUAAUAAAUAUAAUUAUUGAUAUAUUUUAAUUUUGUAAAUAUACAAUUUUAUAAAUAUAUUUAAAUAAUCUGAGCAAGAAAGUUGUUAGAAAAAUCUGAGAAAAAAAGAGUGAAUUACUGAUUGUUGGUGGCCACAAAAAGGAGGCAUUAAUUCAUUCCAUCUGCUUGCACACGUUCAAUCAUAACCAUUCAAAAGAGUUGUAUAUCUUGAAAUAAAACAACCACUAACUUGAUAUUUUCCUAUAAAAAAUGGAGCAAGCACUAAAAUCAGAAAAGAAAACAAUUGCAGAGACAAUUCUCUGCAAAGGUGAUGAUUCUAACGUAUUUGAUGAUGAUGGUGGAAUUAUGAGGGAAUACAGAAUUUCAAAUUCUCAUGUUUAUAUUUAUUAGAUGCAAAUGAGACGUUGACACCAAAAGGGUGCGACUCCUAGAGGAUGUGAAUUUAAAACCAAAUGCAACAUCGUUAGGUCUAUUACAGAUGACGUCAUAUUUUUUUCGCUCAUCAGUUUUCAUGAUUGCCUGUUGAUGGAUAAUGGGCAGACUGCAAACGCAAAUCAAAGUUGAACAUGGAACACAACUUACACGUAAUUCAGAGGUUUUCCACAUUAGCGCCAUUACGUGUUGUAGUAAGUUUUUUUUUAUAACUCGAAUGGUAAAAUAUAAAGGGAGAACAUUGUAAGAGGAGAGUAGAAUUCGCUCACGGCGCACCAAAUUUAUUAUCAUUAUUGUUUCCGGUCAUCAGAUUGUCUGAAAUUCUGACCUACGCAUCAAAAAGAUAAUUGUACAUCUGGUUUUUCCUGGUUAAAUGAUUAAUCUGAAAUUGACUUGGUCGAUGUGUGGUGUGCAUCAAUGGCAAUCUCCUUGAAACAAUGACUCGUGGAAAAAGCUAUUUAGUAUACUUGCACCCCUGUGUUAUUUGAAGUUUACUGGGUUCCCAGCAUAACAAUAAUCCUUUUUUUCUAAUAUAUUUGUGAUUGUUGUGAUAUUUUUUUUAUUAUUAUUUUGAUUCGGAUUUAUCAUUGUUGAUAAUCUAUAUAUAUAAAAAAAUGUUCGAGUCUCUCCCGCAAUGUCCACGUGGAAAGUCGUUCUUUUUAACGGCGACACGUGUCCACUUUUCUAAACGUACCGUAUCAAUUACUUUCAUGGUUUGUGUGAUUGGGCUUUGUGUGAUUGUGUGUGUUAUCCAGCCCGAAUAUAUCGAUAGGCCUCUAACCCUAGAACGUCUGUUAAAAAAUCAGAAAAUGGGAAAGAGCUUUGAUAAAGAAAAAUGGGAAAGAGCAGGAGAAAAGACUGACGGAGACUGAGCGGUAGAGAAAGCGAGAGUCACCACCCCCGGUCUCCUCUCUGCCACGCCGGAUCUCUCUCUCUCUCUCUCCUGUGCCUCGCUCUGUCACGGUUACAUCUUUCUCUCGCUCUCUCGCUCUCUCUCUCUCUUUCUCUCUCUCUGUGUAUGAGUUUUGAUUUCAUUUUGUUUUUGUCUUGGUAAAGAAAGUUGGAGGACGCAGAGAAGCUUGAUGGAGGAGGACGGUGAAGAAGCUUCACGAGGUGGAGGAAGCGAGGUGGAGGAAGCUGGACGAACAGACGGCGGAAGAGGCGGGAUGAAAAGGCGGAGGAGGAGGCAGGACGCUCAAGUUUGCCAGCGGUGGAGAGUUCAACAAGAAGACGACGGCUUUUAGAUUAGGUUUAGUUUUGUAUUUUUGGUCCUUUUUUAAUUUUGUUUAAUUGUCUAAACCAAUUUAAAAUUACAAACCGGUUCAAAUAAAUGAAGAAGCGGCGUAUCUCAUGUGGCACUAUCAAACUGUAAAACCCAAUAAGCUCAUAAACAGUGUUUUAGAAAGUUUUUUUUAUUUGGUAUGAAAUAUAUUUUUUAAAUAAGAGAUAAUUUCGUUUUACUAUAAACAGUAAUUAUUUGAUAUUAGCUUUACCUAUUAUAAUUUUAAUAAAAUUUAUUAUAUAAAAUAUAUUAUACAUUAAAUAACAUAUAAGAAAGAAAACUCCCUAAAAUAGUUUUUGACAUAAAAACAGCCCUAACGGAAAAUAAUGGCCAAAAUUUUUGUUAAAGGGCAAAAUACAUUUAUACCAUAAGGUUAACUAAUCUAGAAUUAGUUUUAGAGUUAAUGGGUGGAAAUCUGAGGAUAGGAUUUCAAUUUUUUUUUAAAAAAAAUAAAUAUUAAAAUUUUCAAAAAAAAAAAAACUAUUUUGGUAUUUUUUUUAUUAAAGGCUAUUUUGUGAUUAAAACUUAAAAAAUGUUAUUUGAAAUAAUUUCCCUAUAAAAAAGUAAUAAACAAACACAUGAUAUAAAUGAUAUAUAUAGCAAACUGACAUAUCAUAUAAACAACAAUCGUAAACAAGCAAAAUAUAUCUUAUCACAUAUAAUUUUUCCUCACAUAAAACAUUCUAAAAGACAAAAAUCAUUAUCAUAUACAUUUCUUGCAAAUGCAAACUUGAAACACAAAUCAUAAAAUCGUAUAAAAUUUAAUAAUCAUAGAUCACAAUUAAAGUAUAUCACGCCUGUAGGGCGGACCGACCCUAGUUCUUUAUAUAAAAAGCUAAAGGUUGUAACGGUUGACAAUUAAAGAUUGCAGUGACAUUAAAAGUUACAAUGAUUCAUCACCAACGGUUAUAAUAGUUAGCCACCAAAGAUUGUAAUGGUCUGUCGUUAACAGUUGCAAUGUUUUAUUCUAAAAAUUAUCUGAAAUAUGUGUCUUUUCAUCUUGAAAUUUUUAUUUAUUUUUAAGAAUUUAUUAAAAUAUCUAAGAAUAUGUCUUUAAAAACUUCUUUUAAAUUAAUUCAAGUUUUAUAAUCAAAAGAUACAUCUUUAAACAUUUAUUUUAGAUUUUUUUAAAAACAGAUUCUAAGAAUCAUAAAACAAAUUGUUACACAUUUUCAAAAAUAUAUUUAAAUCAUUGCAUGAUAAAAAAACAUAUAUCAACAUAGAAAGACACAUCUUUUGACAUUUUAAUAUUUUUUUGUCAAUUAGUAAUGCACCUUUUAGAAUGAAACAACACAACAUUUGAAUGAAACAACACAACCUUUUAGAAUGAAACAACACAACCCUUUGACAUUAAUUGGGAUUGCUAUUAUUAAUAGAUAAGAUCAUUCAGUCAUCAACCUUAUAUGGUAUCAGAGCUAAAGAUACCUAAAACUUUAGCCGCCUCUUAACUUUUUCAAUUUUUCAUCGUCUUCUUUCUCAAACUCCAUGGCUACAUCACCUGCAACUCACGGUGAAACCAUCAACAUCUCUGAGAAUCAAUCUAUUCUCAACGUUAACAUGACGAAUGUUACGAAAUUGACUUCACAAACUUUGUCAUGUGGAGUCGUCAAGUCAAUGCCCUUUUUGAUGGAUAUGAUCUCUCCGGUCAUCUCGAUGGAUCCAUGACCAUCCCUCCACCUACGAUUACUACUGAUGGCCAGAUCACUACGAAUCCGGCUUACCAACUCUGGAAGAGACAGGAUCGUCUCAUCUACUCCCCCUCUAUUCUAAUAAGAUCAUUCAGUCAUCAACCUUAUAUCUUGUAUAAGGUUGAGAUUGAAGAUUAUAUACAAGAAAAGGUAUUUACAUUUGACAUCAGACACUUGGUUUAUGCUUGAAGGUUCUGGUUAAGUUGGUUUAUAGAUAUGAUUGUAAAUGGUCUGGUUUUACGUUUGUAAGUAUUCUCUCUAUAGGAAACCAGGCGUGUGGAAUGUAUACGUGUGAUGAGCUGAUCAACUCAUCUUAUAAGGGUUAAUUAGUUUAUGUUUAGCUUCUUGAUCUCAAGUUGAUUGAGUUGUAACAGCGAGAGAGAAGAAGAGAGAGGGCAGAGUUAGAGUUGUGAGGCCGGAGACUCGAGCUCUACGAAGGUGAUACUGUAUUGUUGAUUCAAUUCCAGUCCCAGUGAGAUAUAGCAGCUCCUUCUAAUUUGAGGAAGUGUGGUGUGGUAAUACUGGGUAAACAUCUUGCAUGGGUUCAUUUGUGGUUUCUUUGAGCGUUUAUCUUUCUUAAUUAAAAAUUGAGAGCUUGUUACAUGAACUUGUGUAACAAGAAUGAAGAAGAGUACGACGAAUCAAGGAUCAGAAGUUGUGUUACAUGAGCUUUUUGGUUUCUUUUUGGCGUUUCAUAUAUAUACGGAAUUUUUACCAUCUUUUUAGUGGAAUAUACAAAUGACGCUCGGCUUGGAUCGCCAUGGCAUUAGACGCUUGCCGUUGUCGACCACCUCCUUGCCUUAGAUGGCCAUACGGCAUUUACAAAUUACAACCCAGAUGCCAAAUAAGCUUGUCUUUUAAAGCUGCACCAAUUUGCCGAGAUGAAGCCUAAUGCUAGUUCGUUUAAUGUUUAUUUUGAAUGACUAGGAAAAUUUAAACAUUGUAAAUAUGUAACCUUGAUCUAAACUAUGUAACGAAACAUAAAUUAGCACAAAACGUUAUUCUAAUUCAUAUAUUCUUGGAAACAUAAAUGAAACAAUGAUUUCGAAGAGGAUAAAUUUUUUUUUUUUUUUUUUUUUAAAUAUAGAAGAGGAUAAAUUUACCACAUACAAAAUGAUGAGUUGCAUACUUGCACGUAAUUUAAAAUCAGAUUCUGGUUUCAUAUAAGAAGUUUUGAAGAAUCGCGAGAUUUAUAAAAUAUUGGGGCUCAAAAGGAAAAUUUAGGUAAUGUUGCUUUAAUUUUAAAUUAAAUUAAAAGUGUAUUGACCGGAAAAAAUUAAGAAAAUAUAUAAAGCAAAUCGUAAGGACCUGAAAAAUCUUAUCCCAAACUCUCUCUAUCGCUUCCUCUCGACUCUCUUUGCUUACAUCGAUCGCUGGGUUUGUUUGAUUUGGAAUUCAAGAUCGUGUUCCCUCUCUUCAAUGUUGAGUCGGUUCGUUUCUCGGAUCUCGAUGAUCCUCGAUUCUCUAAACCACGCGUGAAGAAGACGACCUUACCAUUUUUCGCUCCCUCCCUUAGCUAAUUUCUCGCCGCCAUGUUCGAAGCUCAUGUAAGACCAUCUCCAAUGCUAAACUAUAAUUUUCUCUAUAUUUCAUUUUAAAAUAGAAUAAUUCUAUUAUAAAGUGGGAUUUGCUGGUUCACUCUAUAAUAGAGUUACUCUAUAAUAUAGUGAAAUAUAGAGAAAUAUAGAGUAUUCUUGUUUUUCAUUCUAUAUUUGGAGUAAAAAAAAUAAGAUUACUCUAUAUUUCACUAUAUUAUAGAGUAACUCUAUUAUAAAGUUAACCAUUGGAGUAAAUUUAAUUCUAUAAUAGAGAAAAAAAUAGAGUUUCCAGCCCUUUCUAUUUCGAUGUUCGAAUCGUAGAUGCUGCUGGAGAACUAAUUAGUUGAUAUUUUGAAUUAAGAUUUGAAUGUAACUGAUGAACAGUUCCAUGUCCAGCUUAAUUGGUGAAAUGGAGUAUCUAUUAAUUGCAGUCUUACAACUUGGUAUACAGGUACUACAUCUGCUUCGGAGGUAUCUGGGUGAAUAUGUGCAUGGACUCUCCACAGAGGCUCUGCGGAUUAGUUUCUGGAAAGGUUGGCAUAUCUUUUUAUAAUAAUUUUAUAUCUAGGGAGUAUUUACAAUUCUUAUGUGCAAAGACUGCUCAUGAUUUAGUUAUCUCGAAUACGAAGUAGUUUGUUUACUGGUUACUGGUGAUAUUGACACAUGUAGAGAUGUAAUCCCUUGGCUUUGUAGUCAGUUGUUUAACUUUGGUUCUUCCCAUUAUUGAUGUUGAGCUUUACUGCUUUUCAGGGGAUGUUGUUCUUAAAGAUUUGAAGUUAAAGGCGGAGGCUUUGAAUUCACUGAAACUCCCUGUCACUGUCAAAUCCGGUUUUGUCGGAACCAUUACUUUAAAGGUUGCUAGUUUUCUUCUUCUCUUUGUGGAUUUUUUUUUUGAUGUUUUUUGUUCAGACCACUCUUACCAUUUAUACGGUAAACUGAUAUAAGCAUGUUUCUUUCUGGAAAGUUUGGUUACUUGAGCUUGGAUUGAAAAUCCUUGCCGGAGUUACUUGCAUCAUAUUUCUUCACAUGCUAAUUCCUAUAUAUGCUUACUAAAGUACUUUGAGGAUCUAGAGAGAGGAAAAACCACUUAUUGAUGACUUAGCUAAGCUUACAUGACCAGAAAUGCAUGCAUGUGUGAUGCUCUUAUGCAAUGAUGUACAAUAGCAAUGCUGGGAAUUGAUAUGGUUUAGUUUAUUGACAUGUUUGUUGGUAAAAGUGAAGAGAGUGAAUUUUUUUAGCCUUUUUCACAUGAAUUAUUGAACUGUAAGGCUAUUAGCAGUGUUGAAGGAGUUAUGAGCUAGAAAAAUGUGGUAUGAAAUUUUUUUAUUGUGAACGUGAUAUCAGUUAUAGGCAAAAAUGCUUUAAUAGAGGGAAGUCCCAUAUGAUUUAAUUGGGCUACAUUUUCUGUUAAUCAAGUAUUUACAACUCUUUGAAUAAUAUGUGGACUUUUUAAAAGUAGAUAUGCGUAUGAUUCUGUUUGUAGUUUUGGUUUUUGUUUUUUCAAAAUCUAUUUUUCAUCCAAUCAAGAUUUUCAAAUAAUAGAUUUCCUAAAAUGUAGGGAAACUAGUUUUUUUUUCUUUCAAAUAACUGUUUUCUUAACACAAAAUCCCAAAACAAGUUUUCAUGGGGUUUUCUACUUAUGAUGGUUUCUAUUUUUUUUUCUUUUGUUUAUUCUUUUUCUAUAUUUACCCAUUAAUAUAGGAAAAAUAAAUAAAAUGCUAAUUAAUAUAAAAAAUAAGGUUUUGUAAGAUUCAAAUCUGUGUUUUAUUGUCACAGGGCGUCUACUAUUCAUAGGCUGUCAAGAAAAAAUAAAUUUGAGGAUGUAAAAUAAAUAGUAUAUACACUUUUUUGGUCAAAAUAGUAUAUACAUAAGCAUGAAUUUUAUGUCUAUGCUAAUUGAAACUAACAUUAAAUGUAAUAAGAUUAGUGCAGUUUGAAUGAUAUAUAUUCUACCUAAUAAAAUCAAUCUUUUUUCUAAUAAAUUGAUUGUCAUAAAAUUUAUUUUGCUUUACUAUAGUGAACUACACAAUAACUCAUAUACAAUUUUAAACUUAUCAGUAAAAUAAAUUUCAUAAUUCAAAAUUAACAAUUAAAAUAAUACGUAAAUAUUACUGUUAAUAAAUUUUGUAUUAUUUAGAAAAAUUAAUUUUCAGCAUUUUACUAUUUCAUGCCUAUAAACUAGGCCUGGGACUUUUAUCUGAGAUCCGGAUAUCCGGAGGGGCCAAAUCCGAAUCUGGAUAAUAAAAUGUUGGAUCCGUCAAAGCCGGAUCCAAAUAUCUUGAUUUUUUAGUCCGGAUAUAUCCAUAAGUUUUAUUAAUAACUAUUUCAAAAUAGUAAUAUCUAUAUAUAAAAAUUAAUUUUAUUUAAUAUAUUUUUAUUAAUUAUUAUAAUAGUAUAUAUAAAUUUUGUAAUAUUAUACAUAAAAUAAUUAUACAUGUAAAUUUUAUAUAAUUUUUGUAAUAUUUUUAAAUUAUUGUUAAUAUUUUAUAUAUAAUAACAUUAUUUAUUUAUUUAUUUCAAGGAUUCAAAUCCGGAUCUAGAUAUCUACAAUUUUUAGAAGGAUAUCUGACACCCGGAUAUCCGAAAACUCGGAUAUCCGAGAAUCCGAAUCCAGAUAAGGAUAGUAAAAUUAUGGAUCGGCCGGAUAAGGAUCUGGAUACCUUAAAAUUGCCUAGAUACCCGAUCCCUCCCAAGCCUACUAUAAACUAUAACCAAUAUAAUACUUAGUAUAUAAGGACAUUUUUUAAAAAAAUUGUCAAUAAAAUAAAACUAAUUAUUAAAAUUAGUUUUAUGUAAAGUUAAGUCAAGUUCUUAAAAAUAAUAGACAACUUCUAAAAUUAAAUAAAUUACUAAUGAAAACUUUAGAGAAAAAGAAAAAUAUACAGAAAUUUCAAAAUUAAAUAAAUACAAAUAUCAAAAACCUGAGUCGAAAAUCACCGUUCAUGUUUUUGAACAAAACUAAAAGCCAAAAACUAAAAUCUAAAAUCUAAAAACUAGAAACUAAAAGCCAAAACCAAAAGCUAAAAUCUAAGUAAACAAUUAACAAUCAUCACUUGAAGCUUUUGAUACGAAGUCAACUGUCAUGGAUAUUACCAGUCAGGGUGAUACCCUCCCUGGUUUCUAAACGUAGACUUGUAUUAGCAAAUGUUAUUUUUGUUAGCAAACUCUAGUAAUUAUGGCUAGGUAGCAUAUCUAGAACUUGACAGUGACUAACAAACCUUUGUUUCAGGUCCCUUGGAAAAGUUUAGGAAAAGAGCCAGUCAUUGUUUUGAUCGACCGUGUCUUUGUGCUUGCUUAUCCUGCCCCUGAUGGCCGAACAGUUAAGGCAUUGUCUUGGAUUUUGUGUUGUCUCGCCUUUAAGCUUUUUACUUUGGUUGGUACCAACUUUGCUUAAACUAUUUACAUACUAGGAGGAGCACAGGGAAAAGCUUUUAGAAACCAAGCUUCAGCAGAUCGAGGUAUUAAAUUUUUCUGGCUGAUGCAUACUUCUGAAUACAAUCGAUAUGAGUUUUCGGUCUUUUAAUGUACAAGAUAAACGUUGAUGUUUUCUUAUUUAUCAUUCUCGUGUUUGCUACAAAUAGGAAGCAGAAUCGGCAACUCUUGAAGCAAGAGCAAAAUCUAAGCUGGGAAGUGUAUGCUUCUGAACUCAACUUAUUUUGUAAUUUUUAUAUCGUUCUUAUUUUCUUUUUACGGGUUAUCUGUUUGAGUGACGUGGAACUUUCCUGAUCAGAUUAGAAGAUUCCUUAUGAUCUUUUACGAAGGAUAUAUAUGCCCUCCUUGUACUAGAUAAAUGUUUUUCUCAUAUGCUAAUUAUGUUAUAUGUUAUAACUUGUAGCUCUUUUAUGCUUGGUUCUUUGCAGCCUCCAGCAGGAAAUUCUUGGCUAGGUUCGCGUAUUGCCACAAUUAUUGGCAACCUUAAAGUAUCCAUCAGCAAUGUACAUAUUAGAUACGAGGAUUCUACCAGGUUUGUGGCUGUUGGCCUUUUUUUAUUUUCCAUGUUCUGCUUUUAUAGCCACAUCUAGCUUUUGUGUUCUUUAGUAAUGUCAUUGUUGGUGUUUAUUGGACACGACUCAGACGUACAUGCUAAUCAAUUUUUUCGUAUUUCAACAAUAUAUGAUCCAGUAAUCCAGGGCAUCCCUUUGCUUCGGGCAUCACCUUGGCCAGCCUCGCAACUGUUACAAUGUAUGAGGAAGGAAAUGAGACAUUUGACACAAGUGGUGCUUUGGAUAAAGUGCGUAUAGUGAGCUUUGUUUUCUUUCUUUUCUAUUAUCAAUUAGGCGGAGCAGUUGAAACUUGAAAGUUGACAAAAACAUUGUGUUUCAAAGUUUCGAAUAUUUCCCAUUUUAUGGUCUCUCAUAUACGAAGUUCAAGCCCCUUUUCCAAGAGGCUUGAAAUACGAUAGACCAUCGAUUAGACUUUUUAAAGGAAAUGUCGUUUGUUUCACAUGAGAGAAUGAGGUAGUAGUUUUUAAUUGAUUCGUAGUUCAAAAAAUAUUUUUAAUUGUUCAUUUGUCUCUAUUCAGUUAGUUAGUUUCUCUGAUGUUUGUGCUCGAUUAGAGUGCGUUUCAUAGUUGAUACUUUGUUACAAGGUCUGUUGGUUGAAAACUAAGUGUGCUGAAUGAUAAUUAUACUACUUAUUGACUUGUACAGACACAAUUAGGCUAACGCAUGGUCUCUGUCACAGUCAUUGCAGCUUGAAAGGCUUGCUCUGUAUCAUGAUUCUAAUAGCUCUCCCUGGGAAAUAGAGAAGCAAUGGAACGAUAUUAGUACCGAGGAGUGGGUUAAGGUUUGUUCUUGUCCACCUUUUACUUGGUGAUUAUUUUGUGUUUUGCGUCAAAUUAUUAGUCAAGUCAAAUGUUCCUUGAGGUUUUAUGUAUUUAACUACUGGCUGUCUUCGUUCAGAUGUUUGAAGAUGGCAUAAAGGAGAAAACUGAGCAUAACCUAAAGUCGAAAUGGGCCUUAAAUCGUCGAUAUCUAUUGUCCCCUAUCAAUGGAUCUCUUAAGUAUCACCGGUUAGGAAAUCAGGAGAGAAAUAAUCAGGAGACUCCAUUUGAAAGAGCGUCAGUUAACAUAAAUGAUGUUAACGUGACAAUCACAGAGGUACCAUUUUCUGUACUUUUUAUUGUUGUUUCAAUUUUUUUCUGGGCAAAUGUUUCUCGUUUUCUUCCAGGGGUAGCUGUAAUAUUUUCCAUCGAGUUUUGGUUUCUUCUGUCCAUCUUUGUACUUCUGAGACCCGUUAGAGUUUGAUACUGCGUCUGCUUAGUGAUUUUUGUUUUUGAGGUGCUGGACUUAAGUCACUUGUAUGUUGUCUACCAUGUUUCCCUUACCAGGAACAAUAUCACGAUUGGAUAAAGCUAGUCGAAGUUGUUUCAAGAUACAAAACAUAUAUUGAGAUUUCACAUUUAAGGCCCGUGGUUCCUGUUUCAGAGGCUCCACGUUUGUGGUGGCGCUUUGCUGCUCAAGCUAGUUUGCAACAAAAGAGACUAUGGUACGUGCUCGUUUCAUUUAUAUCUCCCUUGCAGGAUUUUACUGACAGACUAGGAAAAGAAACAUCAUUUAUCUAGAAAAUCUAUUUUGUUUUUUAGUCUUGCAUAGUUGAUCAUCUUCUAGGAAAGUAUACUGCAUUCUAUAUGUGGAAUGAUGUUGUAUUUUGAUCUGUCUUUCAUAUACUGACCCCAUUUCAGCUAUCGAUUUUCCUGGGAUAGAAUCCAUCACCUUUGCCAGUUACGUCGGCGUUAUAUUCAGCUGUAUACCAACUUUCUCCAGCAGUCAUCAAAUGCUAAUAACCCAGAGAUGAGAGAAAUCGAAAGGGACCUUGAUUCCAAAGUGAUUCUUUUGUGGAGGUAAUAAUUAUAUCCUCACAUUUUGAGUGGAAAGCAUCAAUCUUGUGGUGUAUACCACCGGAAUCCAUCUCGAAGACACUUGAUCUCUGGAUUGAUUUGGCUAUUGUCAUGACAAUGGUCAAGUUCCAAAUAUACUGAAAGUUUAUAGACAUAUUUGACUUACUGUUUGAUUACAUAGUCUUAUUAUACCACUUUUUCUCAGAAGAAGUUCAAGCUUUGCCAUUCUUCCUCGUUGUUUUCAUUGGGAUUCUUAAUGGCACUGUGCUGUCUAUGUGCUUUUCCUCCUUCCGACUUAUCUGACCAUGUGCUGUAAUAGGUUGAUUGCACAUGCAAAGGUAGAAUCUGUGAAGUCAAAAGAAGCAGCAGAGCAGAGAAAGCUAAAAAAGAGCGGUUGGUUCUCAUUUAAUUGGUUAGUGGAUUCUGGUGCUUCCUUCUGAAUAUGGUUGUCUUGCUUUUUGGCUUUUCAAAUUCUUAUCGUAACAAUGAAUGCAACAUCACAGCCAGAUUCCAUAUUUUUUAAUUAAUAUUUGUCGUUACUAUCUCCAUGAAGGCGGACAGAAGCUGAAGAUGAGCCUGAGGUCGAUAGUGUGGCUGAGGGAUCGAAAUCGGUGGAGGAAGGAUUGACUAAAGAAGAAUGGAAGGCCAUAAAUAAGUUACUGAGUCAUCAGCCAGACGAAGACAUGAAUUUGUAUUCAGGAAAAGACAUGCAAAAUAUGACUCACUUUCUUGCAACGGUAUCAAUUGGUCAAGGAGCCGCUAGGAUUGUUGAUGUAAACCAAACUGAGGUGCUGUGUGGUAGGUUUGAGCAGCUCGAUGUGACGACAAAGUUCAGACAUCGAAGUACUCAGUGUGAUGUAUCACUGAGGUUCUAUGGCUUAUCUGCACCAGAAGGUUCCCUUGCACAGGUUUGUUUUCAAAUUUCACCUUAUGACCAGGGUCACAAACCCCUGUGAUAAGAUUCUGUAUUCCUGUCUAUAAAUGAAGAUUUGACCUUUCCCUGCUCCCCUCUGUGUGUCAUGCUGCUGUCUUUGAAGAGUGUAUCCAGUGAGGGAAAGACAAAUGCCUUGAUGGCUAGUUUUGUGAAAUCUCCAAUUGGAGAGAACAUUGAUUGGAGACUAUCAGCAACGAUAUCCCCUUGCGCCGCUACGGUAAUCAGUUCAUAUAUGUGUGCUCUUGAAACAUAGGUAUUUAGGACCUUAUAAAAAACGUCUCGAAUAUAUAGCAGCGUCUUUGGAUAGUAAAUUUUCUGGACCUUAUAAAACGUUUUUGGAGAUUAAAACUCCUUUUUGGAAAUAUGGAUGGAUAUACACACACAUAUAUAUAUAUAUAUAUAUAUAUAUAUAUAUAUAUAAUAUAGUAUUGUUAUAAUUUUAAACUACGAAGUACUAGUAACUCUCAUGUGCAUAUGGUUUUCUUAGUUUGGAAUUUUAAUGUAACCAGAGAUGCGCUUCUCAAACAUUUAACAUCAGCGAUGGAUGCUUUAGUGUACUAAAUUCAGUUACUGCCAAAGGAGCACUAACAAUCUUAAUUCAGAACAGAUGAUGAUUUUUUGGCGGAUUAGAUAACUUGGUUCUGGGGAUAGCACAAGUUGUUCAUUUUAAAUCUUGAGCACAAUUGGUAAUUUUCGUACUGCAGAUCUGGACUGAAAGUUAUGAUCGUGUAUUGGAAUUUGUGAAGCGAAGUUGCGCAGUUAGCCCUACUGUUGCACUAGAAACUGCUGCUGCGCUUCAGGUACUGUUCUAAUGUUCAGUGCACUUUUUAUUACAAGAAUUUAUUGCAUAUGCGUUAAGGUGACAAUAAGACGUGUACCCUUACGCAAAUCCUUAGUCAUAGAUUUCUGUAUGUUUACUAUCCCGCAGACUUUUAGGCUUUAGCAUUUAUUUUUAUUUUCACCGUUCUUUAUUACAGAUGAAACUAGAGGAAGUGACUCGACGGGCUCAAGAACAACUUCAAAUAGUGUUGGAGGAGCAAAGCAGGUUAGAACAAUUUAAACUUGGAUCUCUCUUUACCAUUGUCCCUUAUAUCAGAGUUGGACCAUUUGGUGAUGACUAAAGCGAGAUGCUGUUUGCAUAGAACAAAAGCUAAAUUAUUGUAGUCUGUUCGAAUUUGGAUAUCUAAAUAUUUUAUCAGUUCGGACAGGUAGCAAAAUUUUCACCGGAUUCCUUAAUGCUUUUCCUUUGAUUUCUCAGAUUUGCUCUUGACAUUGAUCUUGAUGCUCCAAAAGUGAGAAUCCCUUUGAGGGCUUCAAGAUCGUCCAAGUGCAGUAGCCAUUUCCUUUUGGAUUUUGGUAAUUUUACGCUAACCACCAUGGUAAGUUUCCAGACUUGCUAUACGACUUUAGUAGUGGUUCUCUUCUGUUUUCUUAUACUUCUUGUACAAGUGCAGGAUACUUGGUCUGAGGAGCAAAGGCAAAACUUAUAUUCUCGGUUCUGCAUUUCCGGAAGAGAUAUUGCCGCUUUCUUUACCGACUGUGGAUCUGACAACCGUGGUUGCAGUUUACUCAUGGAAGAUUUCACUAAUCAGCCAAUGUUGUCUCCCAUUCUAGAGAAAGCGGACAACGUUUAUUCCCUUAUUGAGAGGUGUGGAAUGGCAGUUAUUGUUGAUCAGGUAUUUACCUUGUGCGACAUUUCUAUUCAUGUGUCAAUUGCUAAAACGAGGCAUUUCUACUGACACGCAUAUAUAUCUUCUUGAAGAUCAAAGUACCUCACCCAAGUUUUCCAUCCACAAGAAUUUCCAUCCAAGUGCCAAAUAUUGGUGUUCAUUUCUCGCCAACAAGAUAUAUGAGGAUCAUGCAACUGUCCGACAUCUUGUAUGGUGCUAUGAAAACCUACAGUCAAGCUCCUGUUGAUGACACUCCGGAUGGAAUCCAACCUUGGAGUCCUGCAGAUCUUGCUAGUGACGCUAAAAUCUUAGUUUGGAAGGUAUGUUUAAGUACUUUUCAAGCUUGAUUUAUCUUUGUUGGCUUUGACUGUAUGAAAUCUAUUGUUUCAGGGAAUUGGUAACUCUGUUGCUACUUGGCAGCCUUGUCACCUUGUUUUUUCUGGUUUAUAUCUGUAUGCAUUUGAAUCAGAGAGGUCACCUGAUUAUCAACGUUAUUUAUGGUUUGUGCUAUUCUCCACUCAUUAUUUUGUUUCAUGUACCCCUCUCUUUUUUUUGUACUUUCGAGUUACUCUUCCUGCAACAAAGUUUUUUUGCAUGUGUUAAGAGAAGACGGUUAAGUUAGUAACUUUGUAUGUGCAGCAUGGCUGGCAGGCAAGUAUUCGAGGUUCCGCCCGCAAAUGUUGGUGGUUCACUAAACUGCCUUGCUGUCGGUCUUAGGGGAACGAAUCUUAAAAAGGUAAGCUAAGCUGCCUGAUUGUAAACAAUAGGAGUCAUAAAAGAACCGGCAAAUCUAUGAGUCCAGCGUUAAAAUAUACUCCUAAUUGGGUAUGCCUGCUUAGUCUUGAAUCGGUACCUACCUGAAAUAAGAUGGUUGAGAGUGUUGAUGAUUCUCUGGACAAAAAGCCAGCUCACAUAUAUUCCUUUACAGCGGCUUUCCUUGCUGUAUUCUUAUAUGUAUUUUCCAUUAAAAAUCAUGGAUCUCAUGCAUUCUUCAGGCCCUGGAAUCUUCUAGCACCUGGAUCAUAGAGUUUCAGGGGGAGGAGAAGGCAGCAUGGCUGAGAGGACUUAUCGAAGCUUCCUAUCGAGCUUCUGUAUAUUUAUAAAAUCUCAUUCACCUUUUUUCUGGGUUUUUCUUUCUGCAUUGGUUGUGUCUGGUUGAUGCUGAAAAAUCUUGUCCGUUUGUAGGCUCCUCUGUCGGGGGAUGUACUUGGUCAUACAAGUGAUGGUGAUGGUGACUUCCAUGAACCUCAGACCGGGAAUUCGAAAGCUGCUGAUCUUGUUAUUAAUGGUGCUUUAGUUGAGACGAAGUUGUACUUGUACGGGAAUGUUAGCUGUGAUCAGGUCUCCACAUAUUUUUAUACCAGAACUUUCAUAGUUCUUAUUUUAACUUGGAUUUUGAAAUCCUAAUCUCCUGCAGAUCAAGGAUGAAUGUGAUGAGCAGCUUGAAGAGGUUCUGCUUCUCAAAGUUCUUGCUACGGGAGGAAAGGUUUGUGUUUGUUGGACAUACUAAGCUGAUACUGAAGUUGUGUGUAUGAGGCUUACUGGGUGUGCAAAGCUUAGAAAACCUAACACCAUGAUAUUUAGUUUCUGAUUAAAAUGAUAUUUAUAUCAUUAAGCCUGGCUAAGAUAAUGAUUAUGUGACGGAAACUACAAACAGAACCACGGCAUUGUUCAUAAAGGUUGAUUAAAUGAUUAAAUUCUUCUCGUACCGUUCGCUAAAUCAGGUUGCAUUUUUUAGGAACGCCACUUGUGAAGAUGUCCGUUUGGAUAUUUUUAUUUCUUCUACUUAUACGGUUGAUAUACAAUAUACUAGUUUGAUAGAGGCAGAUUUGUGUUUACUCUGCAGGUCAAUAUGAGAAGUUCAGAGAGUGGCUUAACCGUUAGGACGAAGUUGCACUCUCUGCAAAUCAAAGAUGAACUUCAGCAGCAGCAGUCAGGCAGUCCUCAGUAUUUGGCUAACUCUGUCCUGAAGAACGAAGACAUACAAGACUCACCAAGAUGUGAUUCUUAUGACAAAGAGAUGUCUGUAAGACAUGCAGAUGAUGAAGAUGCCUUUACUGAUGCUUUGGCAGAGUUUCUGUCUCCUACAGAACCAGGUACUCCGGAUAUGGAUAUGAUUCAGGGCAGCAUGCUGAUAGACUAUGAUGAACAUUUAGGAGUCGAGGAUGCUGAAAAAGAUACAUCUCAGGGAAAAGGCCUUUGCGAUGAGGUAUUUUAUGAGGUGCAGGAUGGUGAAUUUUCUGAUUUCGUAUCAGUUGUUUUCUUGACGAGGAACUCCAGCUCCCCCGAUUAUAAUGGAACCGACACACAUGUAUGUAAUCUAAGACCAUGUGAGGUUAGCUUACUGUAGCAAAUAUACCUUCUCGACUUCGCUAAGUUCUGCUUGAAAUCAAUUUCAGAUGAGCAUUCGCAUGUCAAAACUGGAGUUCUUUUGCAGCAGACCGACUGUAGUUGCUCUAAUUGGUUUUGGAUUUGACUUGAGCGCUGCAACAUAUGUGGAAAAUGAUAAAGAUGUCAACACUGUGGCGUUUGAGAAAUCUGAUAUGGAGAAAGACACAAAUGAUGAAGGUGGACGCAUUGAAGGAUUACUUGGAUACGGCAAGGACCGUGUAGUGUUUUACCUGAACAUGAAUGUUGAUAGUGUGACUGUGUUUCUCAACAAGGAGGAUGGUUCUCAGCUUGCCAUGUUUGUACAGGAACGAUUUGUGUUGGACAUCAAGGUAAUAAAUAUUGGCCUGAGGCAUCUUAUUGAACGUAUUUGAUUUUGUAUCUAGCUACUCUUAAUCAUGGCCCCAUACCAGAGGACAAGAAAACCAGUUUGUUAAUGAUUCUAUCGAAACUGAGUUUCUAAAAGUUAGAUCUGCAGUUGGUUCUCUACCUAAAUGUUAUAAGCAAAGCGAAUCAGUUUCAUUGAAAGUCUGUUUUAGUUAACUUUUUUUUGGUUAAAUUUGUUAAUUUUUCAAGGUUCACCCGAGCUCUCUUUCAAUAGAAGGGACCCUAGGUAAUUUUAAACUCUGUGACAAGUCGUUAGACUCUGGAAACUGCUGGAGUUGGCUCUGUGACAUACGUGAUCCUGGUGUUGAGUCUCUUAUCAAGGUAAAAUGCUGACGACCUUAUCUUGCUUGUUUUUGUCGUGAAUCUGCUCACUUCCUCUUUUACUCUGCAGUUCAAAUUCAAUUCAUAUAGUGCUGGCGAUGAUGACUAUGAAGGAUAUGAUUAUAGCUUAUCUGGUACACUGUCAGCUGUCCGCAUCGUAUUCCUCUACAGAUUUGUUCAAGAGGUGCCAGGAUCAAUAACCUUUUCUUACCCAGUUCAUUUAAAGUGCAAAGGAAACUUAAAUGCUCUUCUGUGGACAUCAUUUUAUUAUUGACCAAACCAAUGAAAUGGUUUUCAGAUUACAGCGUACUUCAUGGGACUUGCCACUCCUCAUACAGAAGAAGUCGUUAAGCUUGUUGACAAAGUGGGAGGCUUUGAGUGGCUAAUCCAGAAAUAUGAGAUGGAUGGUGCUACUGCGCUGAAACUAGACCUUUCGUUAGACACUCCAAUAAUUGUUGUUCCUAAAGAUUCUCUGAGCAAAGAGUAAGUAUAAAUGAUGCGGUUUAUUAUUUGAUAUGUCCUAUGCUAUCAGUCACGUAUUAGGUAUGUCAACACUUCGGUUACAUAGCUCUCUAACGGUAGUCUAGUAGUUGCCAUCAAAAUUAUUUGCGUAAUAUAGUCUUUAUCCUGUAGCUCUAAAGAAAGCUUGAGGUCUGCAACAUAUUACCUUUUGUUACUGAAUCUCUAAAAGAUUUACUUUAAUCUUUCUCUGCACGUUGGUAAAAUCUCAACACACUUCUAUUGGCUGCAGUUACAUACAACUUGACCUUGGUCAGCUGGAGGUAUCAAAUGAAAUAAGCUGGCAUGGGUGUCCGGAGAAAGAUCCUAGUGCUGUACGUGUAGAUGUUCUUCAUGCAAAGGUUCGUAUAUAUUAGAAUAAACAUGAAACACUUUUGUUUAACGUAUGGAUGAAAACACUACCCUGCUGAUUGUUUCUAUUGUCUUUUUGUUGUAAGAUUCUUGGACUUAACAUGUCAGUAGGCAUAAAUGGUUCAAUCGGGAAACCAAUGAUACAUGAAGGCCAAGGAUUGGACAUUUUUGUACGGCGCAGCCUACGAGAUGUUUUUAAGAAAGUACCAACACUUUCAAUUGAGAUCAAGGUAUUGGAUUUCUUCUUCUCUAUACGUUCAAAGAACCCAAAUAUUUAGUUUUGGCGUCAAGAACCGAUCUCUAAACUAAAUAAGUUUGUAUGUUUUUUGUCUUGGCUUCCUGAUAUUGAUAGAUUAGUGAUGACUAUACUUAUAAACGUUAUUAUUGUAAAAGGAUAGCUUGCUGUUUGCCGUGCAGAUUGAUUUCUUGCAUGGUGUGAUGUCUGACAAAGAAUAUGAUAUUAUUGUAAGUUGCACAACCAUGAAUUUGUUUGAGGAGCCAAAGCUACCUCCAGAUUUCCGUGGUAAUAGUUCUGGCCCCAAAGAUCAAAUGCGGAUGCUGGUUGACAAAGUGAACCUGAAUAGUCAGACGAUAAUGUCACGUACAGUAACCAUACUGGCCGUUGAUAUCAAUUAUGCUCUUCUUGAGUUGCGUAAUAGUGUUAAUGAAGAGUCACCGUUAGCUCAUGUUGCGGUACGUACUUCUGAGCAUGAUCAUUCUAUUUUCUUGUAGAUUUCGCCCCUAAGAAAUGUACCAGAUAUCUAAAAACCAAUUUGCCAUUUACUUUGAUUUAACAGCUUGAAGGAUUAUGGGUAUCCUACAGGAUGACGUCACUAUCUGAGACAGAUUUGUAUGUCUGGGUUCCUAAAGUUUCUGUUCUAGACAUCCGUCCUAACACAAAGCCUGAAAUACGGCUGAUGCUUGGCUCAUCGGUUGAUGCAUCCAAGCAAGCUUCUUCUGAAUCUUUACCCUUUUCCCUUAAUAAGGGAAGUUUUAAGCGGGCCAACUCUAGGGCAGUUCUUGAUUUUGACGCACCAUGUUCAACGAUGUUGCUGAUGGAUUAUAGAUGGCGAGCGUCCUCUCAGUCAUGUGUUUUACGGGUUCAACAACCUCGUAUCCUUGCUGUUCCUGACUUCCUCCUUGCGGUUGGUGAAUUUUUUGUUCCAGCUUUACGUGCAAUAACAGGAAGAGACGAAACAUUGGAUCCAACAAAUGAUCCAAUCACUAGAUGUAGUGGCAUAGUUCUCUCUGAGGCUCUCUAUAAACAGAUAGAAGAUGUCGUGCACUUGUCCCCAUGUAGACAGUUAGUAGCAGAUUCACCGGGGGUUGAUGAGUAUACUUAUGAUGGAUGUGGAAAGGUAAUCUCGUUGAGUGAACAAGGAGAGAAGGAUUUAAACUCGGGAAGAUUAGAACCUAUCAUAAUUGUUGGGCAUGGAAAAACGUUGCGGUUCGUGAAUGUAAAAAUUAAGGUAGAAACUCUUUUCUCUUUAUAUAUAAUAAUAUUAGAUACAUCCUUUUGUAAUUUUAAAAUAAUCACUUGGUAGAGUGAAUUUCUUUUCCGAGCGCUUAUAGCGUGAAGCGGAGAAGGAUUCUUUGUUUUGUUGUAAUUACUGCUUCACAUUCUCUUUUUCCAAGAUUCUUAAUUUUGCUAACUGCUUCUUUUCUGUUUUUUUCUUCUGUGGCAGAGUGGGUCGCGUCUGAGCAAGUGCAUUUACUUGAGUGACGAUAGCAGCUGCUUAUUUUCCCCAGAAGAUGGUGUUGAUAUCUCAAUGUUAGAAAAUGCCAAAUCUAAUUCUGAGAAUGUGCUGAGCAAUGCGUACAAACCAUCAGAUGUCUCAGAUAUUCGUCAAUCCGAUUUGAAGUCUGGCCAGUGUUUUACCUUUGAAGCUCAGGUAGGUUUCCUAGAGCCUUUCUUUUUACCUGUUUAUAUAGUUUUGAGCGCAUAGUUUAUAGCUAUUUUAUUGCGUUCUAUUUGAUCGAAAACUACUAGACUUUACAUUUGUUCUCUCUUACUUAUUUUAGAUCAUUAUUCCUUAAUUCUGGUGUUUCUUUGAUGUUCUUUCUUGGCUCAUAAGAUUUGUUUUAGAGAAAAAGACUAGGAUAGCACCAAACCAAGUUUUUGUUUCCAAAGUAGCAGUCAAAGCUCAAAGUCACAAAAAUAGGUUUUAUUAUAGAGGUAAAUAUACACUUAUAUCCCUUGGGUUAAUUAAUCCAAACCUUAGGUUUUAGAGUUAAGGGUUGAGGUUUUGGAUUAGGGUUUAAAAUUUUAUAAAAAAAAAUACUAAAAUAAAAAAUAAAAAAUUUAAAAACAGUUUCAAAAAAUAUUUUUAAAUUAUAAAAAGAAAAUUUGAAAAAAAAUAAAAAAAUUUCAAAAAAAAAUUUCAAAAAAAAAUUAUAAAAAUUUCGAAUCUGAAAACAUAUAAUCUGAAACUAUAAAAAAAAAUCAUUUUUUUUAUUUUUAUAUUAUUUAUAUUUUUAUUUAUUUAAUUUUAAACUAAGGGUAUUAAGGAUAUUUUACCCUUUAAUGAAUGUCAUUUUUGUGAUUUUCUCCUUCUAGUGCCAUUUUUGAGACAUAAACUUCAAAAUGUGCUAUUAUUCACAAUUAUCCUUUGUUUUAUGUGGAGGGUUCCGCAACUUCUUUCAGCGGCCAUCUUUCAUAAGUUCUCAAUUACUGUCCUAGCUGAUUAAUGAAACUGGAUUUUUUUUUGUUUUGCUGUAUUUGUCAAUUUCAUAGGUUUUUGCUGUAUUUGUCAAUAUCAUAACUUGUUUUUGCACAGGUUGUUGCUCCCGAGUUCACAUUCUUUGAUGGUACAAAAUCCUCCCUGGAUGACUCCUCUGCUGUAGAAAAGCUUUUGCGAGUUAAAUUGGAUUUUAAUUUUAUGUAAGUGCAGCUUUGUCCAAAUCUAAGUAUCAGUGAUUAACCUAGCACGCAGUGUCAGGAAACAAACGUCUUUCGUCGUUUACAUGGAUCAACAUCUCUCGGUUUGGUUUACAGAUUCUGUAAUGUUGGCGACAAAAAAAAAAAAGUAUCAGUGAUUAAUGUUUAUCAACAUUUUGUCAUACAUGAAAGUUCUGAACAGUUAGGUCUGAGCACAUUUUACAACACAAUAUUUCCCUAAUACAAAUACGUUUGCUUGACGUCGACUCCAUCUUGCCUAUGACGUUGACAACAAGCUUUUUUUUUUCUUCCUUUGUUGUGAACGGAUCUAAAGUUUUUGUUACAUUGUUGAUAUAUUUUUGCUAUUGUUUUCAACAGGUACGCCUCAAAAGAAAAUGACAUUUGGGUUCGGGCCUUGCUUAAGAACCUGGUGGUUGAAACUGGUUCUGGUCUUAUCAUUCUUGAUCCAGUCGAUAUUUCUGGGGGCUACACUUCUGUCAAAGAGAAAACAACUAUGUACUUGACGUCAACUGACAUAUACAUGCACCUUUCCUUGAGUGCUCUAUCCCUUCUGCUGAAUCUGCAGAGCCAAGUAACUGGAGCCUUACAAUCUGGAAAUGCUAUUCCGUUAGCUUCAUGCACCAACUUCCACAGGAUUUGGGUUUCACCGAAAGGUAUGGCAUCAGUUACGUUAGGUGCAUUUUUUUAGUCUGGCCACAUGAUCUAUUAUUUCUCUACCUUGUAACCGACUGUAUCAGAUAAUUACACUAUUGACUAUUUCCUUUUGGGGAUGCGCGCAGAAAAUGGUCCCGGUAACAACCUCACAAUUUGGAGGCCGCAGGCUCCUUCGAACUAUGUCAUAUUGGGAGACUGUGUGACAUCAAGGUAAUAUUAUUAGUGCUUAUCUGGUUACAUGUAUAUCUUGAUGUUACAUAUAGUUUGCUUUGAUAUUUUCAUCCGCACAACAGAGCUUUCAAUGAUUAUAGUAAAUGUUUUGUGUAUCUAAUAUACUCAACCAAAAUAAUUCUCUUGGGGGAUAAAAUUCUUGUUUCAUCCUGAAUGUGUGUGUUCAGUCAUCAAUAGCAUUGAACUCCGUCCAUAAAAUUCAUGGCAAAUCAUUUCCGUAACAGAAAUAACCAAGCUCUUGUCGUAUUGGAGCUUUAACGUAACGGAUGCUUGGGUGUAACAUGCAGCCUCUUUUUCAUUUGAUAUGUGCCAGUGCUUACAAUUGCUUAAGAAGUGCUCACUUCAGUGUACAUAUGUUUUCUUCUUCUAGAAGGUAAAGCUGCAUUAUGAUAUUAAAUCCCUUUAAAAUUUUCCUUUCAGGGCAAUUCCUCCUACACAAGCAGUAAUGGCAGUAAGUAAUACAUAUGGGCGCGUGCGGAAGCCGAUUGGAUUUAAUUGUAUCGGCCUGUUCUCUGUUAUUCAAGGUUUAAAAGAGGGUAAUGGUCAACAUUCUCCUGAUAGAAAUGAGUGCUCCCUCUGGAUGCCUGUAGCUCCUGCAGGAUAUACUGCUAUGGGGUGUGUUGCAAAUUUAGGAAGUGAGCCACCACCAGAUCACAUUGUUUAUUGUCUAAGAUCUGACCUUGUAUCUUCCAGCAGUUUCUCUGAGUGCAUAUACACCGUCCCCUCCAGUUCAUUAAUUGAGUCUGGAUUCAGCAUGUGGCGCGCUGAUAAUGUUCUUGGAUCAUUCUAUGCUCACUCCUCAACUGAGGCUCCCUCCAAACAAUAUAGUUGUGGCCUCAGUCAUUGCCUUCUUUGGAAUCCCCUUCAGUUGAAAACAUAUCCAUUAUGUGACCCAUCAUCUACAAAUGGCUCUCAAAGCGAGCAAACAAAUGAUCAGACUGGAAAUUCAUCAGGCUGGGACGUACUCAGGUCUAUUUCUAAGCCAUCGAGUUAUUAUGUUUCAACUCCUAACUUUGAGAGAAUCUGGUGGGACAAGGGUGGUGAUCUUCGUAGACCUAUCUCAAUAUGGAGGCCUGUACCACGUCCUGGUUUUGCCAUAUUGGGUGAUAGCAUAACUGAAGGGUUUGUAAAUUUUUAAUUUAAAUUUUGGUCUUUAUAUUAGCCACAAUGAAAGAACUGUUUUCUUACAUUAAUGUUAAUAACCUAUGAUUUUCUUCUUCUCUCAUUAGGUUGGAACCACCAGCACUUGGAAUACUAUUUAAAGCAGAUGACUCUGAGAUUGCUGCAAAACCUCUUCACUUCACUAAAGCCGCACAUAUUGUGGGGAAGGGCUUGGAUGAAGUUUUCUGCUGGAUUCCUGUUGCGCCUCCUGGCUAUGUUUCUCUAGGAUGCGUUAUUUCUAAAUUUGAUGUGGAGCCACAUGUGGAUUCGUUCUGUUGUCCCAGGUUUGAUCUUGUUAACCAGGCCAACAUUUACGAAGCUUCUGUUUCAAGAUCUUCAAGUUCAGAGUCUUCUCAAUGCUGGAGCAUUUGGAAAGUUGACAAUCAGGUUGGACAACCUGUUUUAACCCUGAUGUUUUGUCUCUUACUAUGUGAAUGCUUUGUAUUGUCAUCAUUGAACUGUAGGAACUUCUGGGUUUUGUGAACCAGCUACUAUCCAUUUGCUUAAGUACCCACACUGUGAAAAGUAUGUCCCAAUCCUGAUAGCUGCUGAUAUCUUGUGUAGGCAUGCACUUUUCUUGCACGUUCUGAUCUAAAAAGGCCUCCAAUUCGGAUGGCUUUCGCUAUUGGAGAAUCCGCAAAGCCGAAGACACAGGAAAAUGUAAAUGCAGAAAUUAAGCUGAGAUGCUUCUCUCUAACACUUCUAGACGGCUUACAUGGGAUGGUAUGUUAUGGUCAAAUUUACUACCCAAUUUGUUCAAACGCAAUGUUUACAUCUCUAUCCUGUUCUGAAUUCUUCCAGAUGACUCCUCUCUUUGACACAACUGUCACUAAUAUCAAGCUAUCAACUCAUGGUCGUCCUGAGGCCAUGAAUGCAGUACUCGUUGCCUCCGUCGCUGCUUCAACAUUUAACCCACAGUUGGAAGCGUGGGAGCCUCUUCUGGAGCCAUUUGAUGGAAUAUUCAAGUAAAUAUAAUAAUGAGACUUAACUGGGAGAUAAAACUGGAAUAAUAUUUUGAUUUCUCACUUUCGUUUUGAAGGUUGGAAACAUAUGAUACUUCCUUGAGUCAAUCAUCGAAGCCAGGAAAACGCCUGCGAGUUGCUGCUACUAACAUUUUGAACAUAAAUGUUAGUGCUGCAAACCUUGAAACUCUUGGUGACGCCGUUGUUUCAUGGAGAAGGCAACUAGAACUUGAAGAAAGAGCGGCCAAAAUGAAAGAGGUACCUUGUUCUUUAGUCUCUAUUUCUUCGCGAAAACAUAUAUUUUCUUCGUGAAAGUAUAUAUGUCCGCUGUGGUGCAGGAAUCAAGUGUCUCUCGUGAGAGUGGGGAUCUUUCGGCCUUUUCAGCCCUUGACGAAGAUGAUUUUCAGACCAUUGUGGUAGAGAAUAAACUCGGCCGUGACAUAUAUCUGAAAAAGCUGGAGGAGAACUCAGAUGUAGUUGUAAAGUUGUGUCACGAUGAAAAUACUUCUGUGUGGGUUCCACCUCCAAGGUUCUCCAAUAGGUUAAAUGUUUCAGACAGUUCUAGGGAAGCACGCAAUUACAUGACUGUACAGAUUUUGGAGGCUAAGGUACAUAUACGAAAGCAUCCGUCAUUGGAAAUUUUUAUUGUAGCGUAUUAGAAAGCUUUAUGGUUAAGAUGGUACUUUCACUUUUUUGUGAAGGGUUUGCAUAUUGUCGAUGAUGGCAACAGUCACAAUUUCUUUUGCACCCUGCGCCUCGUUGUUGAUAGUCAGGGUGCAGAACCACAAAAGCUUUUUCCUCAAAGUGCUAGGACAAAGUGUGUAAAGCCUUCCACCGCAGUUGUUAAUGACUUGAUGGAAUGCACCUCCAAGUGGAAUGAACUUUUCAUAUUUGAAAUCCCAAAGAAGGUAGUAUAUUAGGAAACGUUUAAUUUUCUGCUUCCAUUAUUGAUCAUCUUCUCUGUUCCUUCAAACUUGUGGUAUCACAAGCGAUUUAGCCUAGAAUUAACAUUAGAUUGGAACAGUAUAUAAAGCUAGUUGCUUCCCCGUGUUUUCUCUGACUCAGAUGCCUAGUAGUACAAGCUAUAUCGUUUUGCAAAAUUCCUUUUUGAAGUUAAAACAAUUGUCAUGAUUUUGGAACUUAUCUCAUAUUUGUAGUCUUUUUCGCUUUAAUUGUUUUAGGGAUUGGCCAGAUUGGAGGUUGAAGUGACAAACCUUGCUGCUAAAGCCGGAAAAGGUUAAAUUCAGUGACUUCUUCGGUUUAUUUACUUCGACCUGUUUGUCAUGCAUAACCAUCAAUUAAGCUGUCCUUUUCUGUCUGUUUUAUCAUUCUUUUCUAGAGUGAAUUGGCAUUGUUUAUUGUUCAUUUGAGUAGAUUGUCGGUCUGUUACAUGAGAGUAAGCCAUUAACUAAUGCAGGAGAGGUGGUCGGGUCGCUUUCAUUUCCUGUUGGACAUGGGGAAAAUACACUUAGAAAAGUAGCUUCAGUAAGGUCGCUGUAUCAGUCAAGUGAUGCUGAGAAUAUUAGUUCUUAUACGCUUCAGAGAAAGGUUAGCUGUUUUUCAUUUAUAUAAAGGUAUUUUAACGUUUCUCAAGCUUCUCUAACAUAUGUUGCUUUCUCAUUUGAUAAAUGAUAUGAAGAAUGUCGAAGAUAUACAUGACAACGGAUGCUUGCUUGUCUCAACAUCUUAUUUCGAGAAGGCUACAGUCCCCAACACACUAAGAAAUAUGGAAAGUAAGGAUUUUGUUGACAGAGACACUGGUUUCUGGAUUGGAGUUCGGCCUGAUGACUCAUGGCAUAGCAUUCGCUCGCUGCUUCCGCUCUCUGUUGCUCCGAAAUCACUACAAAACGAUUUUAUUGCAAUGGAAGUUUCUAUGAGAAACGGAAGAAAGCACGCAACAUUCAGAUGUUUAGCAACAGUUGCAAAUGAUUCAGAUGUCAAUUUAGAGGUAUCCAUAUCAUCUGAUCAGAAUAUCUCUUCAGGAGCGAGCAAUCAUAACGCUUUGGUUGUCUGUGGAUCGUCCUAUGUUUUACCAUGGGGAUGUUUGUCAAAAGAUAAUGAACAGUGCCUACAUGUCCGGCCAAGGGUUGACAAUCUUUCUUAUGCAUGGGGUAGUUGCAUCGCCGUGAGUUCUGGUUGUGGAAAAGAUCAACCAUUUGCUGAUCAAGGUUUGCUUACUCGGCAGCAAACGUUCAAGCAAAGCAGCAGAGGAUCUGCUUUUGCUUUGAAACUAAACCAGCUUGAGAAGAAAGAUAUGCUUUUCUGCUGCCAGCCCUCUACAGGGAGUAAGCCAUUCUGGCUCAGCGUGGGAGCAGAUGCGUCAGUUCUUCAUACAGACCUUAAUACACCUGUUUAUGAUUGGAAAAUUUCUGUUAGUUCUCCUUUGAAGCUAGAAAAUAGACUUCCUUGCCCAGUCAAAUUCACAGUGUCGGAAAAAACAAAAGAAGGCACAUAUCUUGAGAGACAACAUGGUGUAGUAUCUUCAAGGGAGAUUGCUCACGUAUAUUCAGCAGAUAUUCAGAGACCUGUGUAUCUUACACUAGCUGUCCAUGGUGGUUGGGCGUUGGAAAAGGUUGGCUUUGAUAAACUACAGAAGAAUCUACUCACAUUGGAAAAAGUUCUCAUUUCAUUACUAAAUCUGAAUUUCUUUUGUAGGAUCCCAUUCCUGUUUUAGAUCUAUCUUCAAGUGACAGUGUGUCAUCCUUUUGGUUCGUCCAUCAACAGAGCAAAAGGUUUGUCACUCUUUCUUUUUCAUUUCUCGUUCUUCCUGGAAUUCUUAGUAUUGUUAACUCCGCCUAAUACGCCAGAUACAUGAAUCUGUAUUACGGCUCUUUACAGCUGUUUAAGAAAACAAUGGUUAACAGCUGUUUUACGGCUCUUGACCAGAAAGGGUCACGUAACAAAAUCGCAUUUGUUCCAGAAUAUUAUUUCAUCAGUAUCUCUUCUUAACUAACUAGUAUCUUUGGGAGGAGCCAGUCCGUAGUUGAAUUUCAUUGAGGCCGUUAUAAUGUUGAGAAUUAUCAAAUGUGGAUGUUUUUUCUUUUUCUGUUAUAACCCCGAUACAAUACAUUCAUGAUAAUAUUUUGCCACAUCAUACUCUUUCUCUUGGCGUUUCAGGAGACUGCGUGUAAGUAUAGAACGUGAUGUUGGAGAAACCGGGGCUGCACCAAAGACUAUAAGGUUCUUUGUACCAUAUUGGAUUACAAAUGAUUCAUAUCUUCCUCUAGGCUAUAGAGUGGUGGAGAUUGAGCCAUCAGAAAAUGCGGAAGCUGGCUCCCCUUGUUUGUCUAGGGCCUCCAAAUCUUUUAAGAUAAUUCCUGCAUUUUCGAUGGAGAGAAGACAACAGAGGAAAAAUGUCCGAGUGCUUGAGGUUAUCGAGGAUACUAGUCCUUUGCCCAGCAUGCUUUCUCCACAAGAAUCAGCUGCUCGGAGUGGCGUCGUGCUGUUUCCAUCUCAGAAGGAUUCUUAUGUUUCCCCACGAAUUGGUAUUGCUGUCGCAGCUCGGGAUUCUGAGAUCUACAGUCCUGGAAUUUCUCUACUUGAACUUGAGAAGAAGGUGAGUUGCUAAAUAUUAAAAGAUUUGUCUUAAAGCUAAUGGCUUGAAAUUGCUGGACUUUGCUUUAUUGUACGAGAACCAUUUCUGACACACUUCUGUAUAAAGGAUUUCCUCCUAGCUGUCGUCAUUUUCUUUAAUUGGUUGUGUGACUAGCAACUUUCUCUCCUUUCAUUAACCACGAAUUCUUUUCCAGGAACGCAUAGAUGUAAACGCUUUCUGCUCAGAUGCCUCGUACUACAAGCUCUCAGCAGUAUUGAAUAUGACAUCGGACAGAACAAAGGUCAGAUAUCACUUCCGUGUGAUUUUUCUGUUUUCUCAUUGCUGUGGUAUCUGUAUAAAUCACUUGUCUGAAGUCAAAUUCGUGCUCAUAUACAGUGUUUUAUUUGUUGGUGUCUAUUUAUUAAAGAUGUUAUUUGGGCGUGAAAACUCUUAGGGAUUAGCUAGCUUGGCAAACAAUACUUAGUUGGCCUUUGUUUUUCUCUCCUGUUUCCAUAAAAAAUGUACAUGCUGCUGUUAUAUAUUAGACUCCUCUCCCUGGUUUAUUAUAUCAAGAUAAACUAGAGGCGGAUUAUGUCCAGUCUGGAGUCCCACUUGUUAUCUUACUCUCAGUUAUACAUUUGCUUUCAGGUUAUUCAUUUCCAGCCACACACCUUAUUCAUCAACAGGGUGGGUAUGAGCAUCUGUCUUCAACAAUGUGAUUGUCAGACAGAAGAAUGGAUUAAUCCUUCUGAUCCUCCAAAGCUCUUUGGAUGGCAGUCUUCCACCCGGAUUGAGUUGCUGAAAGUAUGUGAAAUACCUUCAGAUUUCUGUAUCUUAAUUUUAAUAUGAUUAAUGUGCUUACGGCGGAUGGGACAUUUUCAGUUACGAGUGAAGGGAUAUAGGUGGAGCACACCAUUCAGUGUCUUUAGUGAAGGUAUAAUGCGUGUCCCUGUCGGAAGAGAAGAUGGGACUGAGCAAUUGCAGCUAAGAGUACAAGUCAGAAGCGGGACAAAAAACUCACGUUACGAAGUUAUUUUUAGGCCAGACUCUGUCUCCGGUCCUUAUAGGUAAAUUACACAUGCCUCAACUGUCUUCCAGUUCCAGAUGAGUUGUUUAUUUUCUGAUGUUACUUUACUGUUUAGUUGGAUAUUGAUGGUACAUUUUCUAGCUAAGAUCAUAUUUGCAUUUAUGAUUUAAAAACUUGCUGCCAAAUCUUUUCUUUGAAACCCAUUAUCUGUUUGGUGAAUCAAGUAAUCCAUGGAACCUGCAUGAAAUUAUUUUAAUACGAUGAUGCAUCCUAUUUACUGAAUCCAAGUUUGUGUUCCCUCUACUAUAUUUACGUUUUUUUUUCCACGAAGCAUAUCUAACCUUUUCUUUUUGUAUUCUAUGUGAUGUGAAUCCAUUCUCCUAGGAUCGAGAACCGUUCCAUGUUUCUUCCUAUUCGGUAUCGCCAAGUGGGUGGUGUCAGUGAAUCUUGGCAAUUUCUUCCUCCUAACGCAGCUGCUUCGUUUUAUUGGGAAGAUCUUGGUAGACGACAUCUAUUUGAACUUCUUGUUGAUGGCAAUGAUCCUUCUAAAUCGGAAAAAUAUGAUAUUGAUAAGAUUGGUGAUCAUCCACCACGAAGUGAGACUGGACCUACCAGACCCAUACGAGUUACUAUUGUGAAGGAAGACAAAAAGAACAUUGUGAGAAUCAGUGACUGGAUGCCAGCAGUUGAACCUACGUCAAGCAUAAGCAGAAGACUUCCAGCAUCAUCUUUGUCAGAUUUAUCUGGUGGGUCUCAGCAAUCUCAACUUCUGGCCUCAGAAGAGUCUGAGUUUCAUGUGAUUGUUGAGCUCGCUGAGCUUGGAAUCUCCGUAAUCGAUCAU
RNAcentral lists this long non-coding RNA (42583 nucleotides) under Brassica rapa (field mustard). Its description in RNAcentral is "long non-coding RNA (BRAP_LNC004027)". The record is from RNAcentral. Lineage: Eukaryota; Viridiplantae; Streptophyta; Magnoliopsida; Brassicales; Brassicaceae.